Rhododendron vialii is the source of this 2208-nucleotide RNA transcript. It is a transcript of the gene named glyoxylate/succinic semialdehyde reductase 2, chloroplastic-like, with no coding region annotated. NCBI's taxonomy places the organism in Eukaryota, Viridiplantae, Streptophyta, Magnoliopsida, Ericales, Ericaceae. The record is from RefSeq and is a predicted model, not a curated record. The transcript has 2 exons.
UCUCUCUCUCUCUCUGAAUUUUGAUCUUAAUUGCGUGUUUAAGGUAUUAUUUUGGUGAAUUUUCCAGUUGGGUGUAAUCAUGUGUUUGGGAUUUCAAGAGAGCAUUUUAAUUUCCAAGCAAUUCAACUCUAUAUUUUCUAUUCAACUAUUUUUUUUUUACCCCUUACAUCCAAAAUGUAGUUUGUCAUUGCCAGCUCGUGUUAGAUUUUUAGGUCUUGGAAUUAUGGGUUCACUGAUGGUUUUGAAAGGGGUGUUGGUUUGUUCAAUGAAUCAAUGGAAGAUAGGAAAAUAAGGAUCCUUCCGGAUGGAUGUAGAUUCCAGAUCAAGAGAUUUAACAUAUAAAUUAUAAUUCAAUGAGAGUAGCUCAAGUUUGGAUUUGAUAACUUGGAUUUCGAGACUGAGAGUUUGUUUGCUCUGUAAUGGACCUAUCACCAAAUCUCCCUCAUGCUUUUAUUAUCAUGGAUUUGGAGUUACGAUUUUGCUAGGCGUGAUUUGAAAUAGGCACCAGUUUGGGAUUUUGGGUAUAUAGGGAACAUAUUGGCUUGCAGGCUUAUAGCUAUCCCUCUCACAUUCAGUACAGUUUGUUUAGGAUUUGAGUAUCUUGAUAAAUUUGGGCACGAAUUACAUCUUAUUUGUGUUCCUUUUAUUUAGGUUAGUCUAUGCUCGAAAGGAGACACUCUUUUACUGCUCCAGCCAACUAAUCUUAAUGUUCUUGCAUAGAAGGCAAAAAAUUUUCAACCGCUGACUUAAUUUUGUGAGAGUUACACCAUGAACUUACUUAUUGUGGUUAAUAGCACGGGAGAAAAAGAUAUUAGGCUCCUAGGAUGUUGGUCCUGUAUUCUUUUUAGAAAUCUCAAUGCUCUAUUCUUAGAACUGUCGGUCAGAUGUACACAACUGAGGCUUGUCUCCUUUUUCUUUGGCUCGAAAUGAUCCAUUUGAAGCCUCUUUCUUUGGCUUGAAUUUCAGUAGUGUUUGUUUAGUUCACUCUCUAGCAUCCAUUCCUAAAUAAAAAGAUUUUCUUUUUAGUAGUACAAGUAUGCAAGUCUUCUAUACAUCUUGUAAGUAUAUUUGCAACAAGUAGUUAUGUCCUUUACACUGUUGUUUGGCGAUUUCAUGUAUGUUGUGUUUUGCCACCUCCUUCCCCUCCGUUCAUCCCACAGAUCAUACAUCUUAACUUGGUUGAGGUUUUUCCUUGGAGACGUGGGGAAUGGAGCUGCAAUGAAACUUGUUGUGAGCAUGAUCAUGGGAAGGUUCUGCUCUGUGUGUGUGUGUGUGUGUUGCAGUGCUUGCAAUAUGUGACUAACUAUUGUAAAACGUCUUGCAACAUUUGCAAUAUGAUGGCAUCUUUUUCUGAAGGAUUGCUUCUGAGUGAGAAAAUAGGACUUGACCCGAGCGUUCUAGUAGAGGUAUUCUUAAGAUCGAGACAUAAAUUUCCUUUCCGCAAUUGAGCAUACUGGAUUAGCCAUUUUGUCUUUGUAAACUGGGAUGUACAAUAUUUAACCAUUUUUGCGUUGAUUCCUAGGUAGUCUCACAGGGCGCCAUUAGUGCACCUAAGUUUCGAUAAAAGGCCCUUCAAUGGUCAAUUCCUUUUUUCUGUUGCAUUUCCCCUGAAGCGUCUACAAAAGGUUUGUAACUAAACAAGAUUGUCGGUAUUGUAGUUGUAAUUCCAUGGUGUCAUUGUAGUAUGAAUUUGUCCGUGGCAGGACUUGUAGCUUGCUCUGGUAUUAGCCAAAUGCCUUUUCCAAGCUACACUGAAUGCAGCCACAUCAAACAAACUAUACAAAGGUGGUGGCUAAAUCUCGUGGCCUUGGCGACGAGGACUUCUUCCAGCAAACAAAUUAUGGGGUUUAUACAUUGCGGCAAAAUAUUAGUUUUUUGUUUGGGAAUUGAUUCUCACAGGAUUCUUCCUGUCAUGACCGCUCUACAUCAAAGACAGAUUCAAGUGGAUGUGAUUUGUCCACUGUGUAAACAAGAGGAGGAAACCAUGGAUUAUGUUGUUUCUUUGAUGCUUACACUAUUUCUGUUUGUAAGGUUAAUCGUGUUGUAGUGCAGCAAGCUGAUGUAAUAGCGGUAGGAUAUAAGAGAUCUCUUAUCUCUCCUACUACUGUGUCAAUUUGAUUGUAUAUGCAUUGUUCAUUUCUCAAAAGAAAAAACAAUUGUUGUUUGGACUUUCUUGUUUGAAAAGAGGGUAAUGACAUGCAUAAUCAA